This 6253-nucleotide small RNA is filed under the name Arabidopsis thaliana (thale cress). RNAcentral describes it as "ATSL043460". The record is from RNAcentral. Lineage: Eukaryota; Viridiplantae; Streptophyta; Magnoliopsida; Brassicales; Brassicaceae.
AACUAUCAAAUUCCUCCGGUGAAAAGCUAGCCGUAGACGUCAUGAAGCUUCCCACAAAAUCUCGUGCCGAUCGGAAAACAGACGAGACCACGAUCUUAGUUUCAAUUUCUGCUGGUCCUAAUUCGCGUAUGAGAAAACGUGUCUUACAAAUCUACGAAUAACUCAACCAAUUUAAAUCCAAAAGCACUUCUGAAAACUGGAGAAUAACGAUAAAAGACUUGGAAAUAACUCUACCAAAUUUCGUUACCUUUGACCACGAUUUGAUAUGACGAAACUGAUUUCUCCCAAACCCUAACGAUUUUGCUCAUUCUCCUUCUCUCUCUUUUUCUCCUUUAUAAAACCCUAAUUUCGAGUUUCCUUCUUUUAUAGACACACUCUAGGGUUUCCAAUUAACCUAACCAAUUAAACCGGAGGAUUUAAAAACAAACCCGAACCCAUUUUCCGGUUCACGGGCGUUAUAACUCUCCCCCACUAACAUAGAUUCGUCCUCGAAUCUAGCUUCACCCUUCCAUUCAGAGGAACUCCGUGCAACCAUCACUACGGUCCGCACUCCCUCCAACCAGACCCCCUCUAGGUCUCUCUAUCCAGUCGAUAUACUCACGAUUUACUAGUCAUUGUUGCUCACAACUCACUCUCCAUUCUCAUACCGCAAUAUUCGAGCAUAAAUCGUCACUCUCAGGCCUCGACCUAUGGUAUCUCGGGUAUCACACGUAUUAUCUUCCCCACUCAAAGUCAAACCCUAAGUUGUGUCAGCUCACUCUCAGCCACAAAGUCAUCGAGUUACGACACUUGGAGAAAAUAAUACCUCAAAACUCGCUCUCAGGUCAUCACCCUAAAGCGUGCUCUCGGAUCGUCACCCGAAGACACCGUACCCCUCACACUCUAAAGACACCAAGUCCCUCGAGUUACCGGUACCUCAGGAGCAUACCCCGCUCCUCACGAGUCGUUGGGACCCUCAUGUCCCUCGAGGAAACAAUACUAAACGCUUCCGAGCAUAUCUCCAGACUCUCUCAUGGAUUCGCGUAAGACACCUUUAUGCCUCACCAUCCAUCAUAUCCUCUCGGGAAUAUCCUUAUGACCAACUCCCGGCCAUUUCGUAAACACACCUCUCUCUUAGGUUGUUUACUCAAACUUUCCAAAAAUAGACAAGUCCUUUCUGGAAAACUUUCCAUUUCUGGAAACCGCACAACACAUUCUUAAAUAAGACAACUCUAGUCAAAUCAAAGAAAAAUACUCAUCUUAUUAAUCAUCAAAUGUCAUGAUCGUUACAACUCCAAACAAAAAUACAAAUGAAAGAGAAAUAAGAACAACAACUCAAAAGCUCAAAAACUCAACAACACUAAAACUGGAAACCAAGGAUAGGCAAACUCAUGCAGUAACCUUCUUCUCGAACCACUUCUAGAACCUUGCCUUCAUCCUCACCUCUGGCUCCCAAGUCUCCUCUGUCACACCAUCGCAGUCCCACAGGACUUUGAUCAAAGGAAUCUUCUUCCGCCGAAGUUCUUUAAUCCUCCUCUCGAGAACCCUCCCUGGUCUCGCCUCCAAAGUCAUGUUGGGCUGAAGAUCCUCUGGAAUCUUAGCCAACACCUCAUCAUCCUUGUGAAGACACUUCCUCAGCAUCGACACAUGAAAGACCUUGUGAAACGCACGCAUAACAUCUGUCAACUCUAACCUGUAUGCCACUGGUACCACCCUCUCAACAAUCCUGAACGGACCCAUGUACCUCGGACUCAACUUAGUCUCUGAGAUAGACCUGUUCGGACCACGUAACAUGGCCAUCUUGAGAUACACUCUUUCCCCAACCUCAAACUCAAGCUCUCUCCUCCUCUUGUCAGCAUAACUCCGAUGUCGAUCCUGAACUUCCUUCAUGUUCAGCUUAAGAACUCCGAUCCUCUCCGUGGUCUCCUGAACAUAAUUUGCACCAUAUAUGCUCCUCUCCCCCACUUGGGUCCAGCAUAAUUGUGUCCUGCAUGGCCUCCCGUACAACACCUCGAAAGGAGUCAUCCCAAUACUCGCCUGAUAGUUGUUGUUAUAAGCAAACUCUAUCAGACUCAACUGAUCCGCCCAAUGACCUCCCCAAUCCAAGACACACAUCCGCAACAUAUCCUCAAGCGUCUGGAUAGUCCUCUCAGAUUGCCCAUCUGUCUGUGGAUGAUAAGCCGUGCUCAUCUGUACCUUAGUGCCCAUCUCUGCCUGAAAGGCUCUCCAAAACGCAGAAGUAAACUUGGAAUCCCUGUCUGACACAAUACUCACAGGUACUCCAUGCAACUUCACGAUCUCGCUCACAUAUUUCUUAGUCAACACCGCCGCUCCAUCGGUUUUUCUGAUCGCCAGAAAAUGUGCUGACUUAGUUAGACGGUCCACGAUCACCCAAAUAGCAUCAAGUUCUGCUCUGGCUGAGUGAAGAUAUACUUCAGAGUCUUAUGAUCCGUGAACACCAGAACUUUUCUGCCAUAAAGAUAAGACCUCCAAAUCUUUAAGGCAAAGAUUACCGCAGCCAUCUCCAAAUCGUGAGUAGGAUAGUUUCCCUCAUGCUUCCUCAACUACCGCGAUGCAUAUGCUAUAACCUUCCCACGCUGCAUUAGAACAAAACCCAAACCAACUCUCGAGGCAUCAAUAUACACCAUGUAAGGCUCUCCAUGCUCUAGCAAUGCUAACACUGGUGUACUCGUCAACAUCUCCUUUAGGCUCACGAAACCCUCCUCGCACUCCGUUGACCACACAAAAGGAAUAUCCUUCCCUGUCAGCUUAGUCAUCGACUGUACCAUACUCGCAAACCCCUUAACGAACCUCCUGUAAUACCCUACCAACCCAAGAAAACUCCUGAUCUCAGUGGCAUUCGUCGGUCUAGGCCAGUCUCUGAUAGCCUCAAUCUUCUCUGGAUCCACUGAGACUCCCUCUGCCAGAAAACUGCACUUGCUCAACUUAGCGAACAACUUCUGCUCCCGUAGCUUCUCCAUCACUCUUCUAAGAUGUACCUCAUGCUCCUCAAGACUCUUAGAAUACACCAGAAUGUCAUCAAUAAAGAUGAUCACAAACUCAUCCAAAAACUCCUAGAACACGCUGUUCAUCAGCCUCAAGAACGUUGUAGGUGCAUUAGUCAAACCGAAAGGUAUCACCACGAACUCAAAAUGUCCAUAUCUCGUCCUGAAAGCAGUCUUGCGAAUAUCUGCCUCCGCUAUCGGGAUCUGGUGAUAACCCGACGUCAAAUCGAUUUUAGAGAAACAAGUAGCACCCCUCAACUGAUCCAACAACUCAUCGAUCCUUGGCAAAGGGUACCUGUUCUUCAUAGUGACCCGGUUCAACCCCCGGUAGUCAAUACAUAAGCAGAAACUUCAGUAUUUCUUCUUCGCAAAUAACACCGGCGCUCUCCAAGGUGAAGUACUAAGACGAAUGAAUCCCUUACCCAAUAAAUCCUCUAGCUGCUUCUUCAGCUCUACCAUCUCUGCUGGAGCCAUCCUGUAGGGUGCUUAGACAACAGCGCUGUCCCUGGUUCCAACACAAUCGUGAAAGGAUCAGACCAUGAUGGUGGUAAUCCCUGCAACGAUUGAAACACAUCCUCGAACUCCUGAACAACCCGAAUGUUGCUCACUGCUACUUGCCCCACAGACUCCGGCAUAGAUAUCGUCAUUAGGUAAGCCUCGCAGCCCUUCUCGAUCAUUUUCUCUGCCUCCACUACUGAGAUGACGAGACUCCCUGAGGUAGGUCUCACUCCCUAAUAAACCAACCUCCCUUCUGGCCGCUCAAAAGAAACUCUCCCAUGGUAGCAGUCAAAAGAAACUCUUCCAGAAUAACAUGAUACAACUCUACAGGGCUGAUAAUCAGAUCUGCUGCAUCGACUCCCCUGCAAUUUGAAUAUCCACACCCUUAGCUCUCCCCAGAACCUCUAGAAACUGCCCUCCAGCAACCUUGACGGAUCCAAACUGCUCACCAGGAUCCCCACGGAUGUUACCGCGCGAGGCACUCUUCGGGGUAAUGAAGCAAUGCGAUGCUCCAGAGUCAAACAACACAUGGGCCUCUACACCGUCCACUAAUAAGGUCCCUACACAAACCUCAUGUGCUAAUAACCCUAACAUUCAUCACAAAACAAUGAUAUCUAAAACAACAGAAAUAAUUCACAAAGUCUGAGUGUCAGAAAUCAUACCAGUGAUCGCUCUGUUGCUCGUACUGCCUAUCUCACGCGUAGUGUAGCCCUGCGGUGCCGCUCCAAUAUGUGCUAACUGCUGUACAUUUUGCUGCACUCCCUGCUGCACCUGCGCUCCUUGCUGCACCGCCGGUUGUACUACUGCCACAACCAUCAGCUGCAGCUUAGGACAAUUCGGCUUGAGGUGUCGUCUCUCCCUACAGUGGUAGCAUUCCCUCGUCUCAGCUCGCAGCUCGCUGCGUGCAAUCCGCUACUUUGUGGUCAAGGCUCCCACAAGAAAAACAUCCCGCACGACCCCCUGUCUAGCUUUAGAAGGAUGAUCCCACUUCCUCUUCUGCCCCUGCGCAGGGUUGCCGCCCUUGCUAGGUGCCACCUGCCGCUGAGUCUUCUUCGGUUGUACCGCUAGACUCACUGCCACCACUUGCUUCUAAAGGUCCUCCUCUACCUCAGCAGCUGUCUCCACCAGUGCCGCUUUUGUGGCGUACUGUGACACUCUACACCGCACCCUCCAGUCCGGUCGAAGUCCCCUCAAGAACCUCCUCAUCUGGGCCUGGUCAUCCUCCAUGCCCCGACCCGCAUACACCAAAAGUCGGUUAAACUCCCGGUCAUACUCCCGAACCGACCGCUCACCCUGUGUCAGCUCAAGAAAACGCGCCUCCAUACGGUCGAGCGCCUCUUGCGGACAGUACUUGGCAUUAAACUCAGCCACGAAAUCUGCCCAAAACAUAUCCGCCUGCCUCCUCUUGGCAGUCACACUCCGCCACCACAAAUGUGCAUCCCCCUCUAGAAAAUGCACUGCCAGAUCCACCAGAUACUCCACCGAGCAUUUGCUCGAACCGAAGUUCCGCUCAACCCGAGACCUCCAACUAUCGGCCUCCUCAGGACUAGUACCACCAGAAAAAUAUCCGGUGCCAAUCCUCUGCAACUGCUCCAUCAUCCUCAAAUAAGAUGGAACCUCCUCAGCAACUGCAGCCCUCUGCUGCACCUCCGCCACUCGUGGCGCAACUGGAGCCUGCACUGGUACCACACCUGGUAACCGCUUCAACAACUGUCUCAGUAGGCCCGCCAAACCAACCUCUAGAACCUGGGCUCCUCCGGCUGCGGCAGCCAACACUCCUGGGUCCUCAGCACCAACGACAUGCACACCGAUACCGACACCAGCUCCACUAGCCCCCACUUUGGCUGCACCAGCUAUAUCGGCACCAAGACCGUCCCCAACCCCGGCUCCACAAACCUAGGCUGCGAACCCAGAGUCUGCUCAACUGUGGCACUGUGCCCAUCACUCUCGCCGGUACCCUCGAGGACUCGUCCUCUAUCGCGACCACGACCACGAACUCCAGCUACUCAAGAACAAAAGGCUAAGAAUAUAGAACAAACGAAUAUAUCACAAACAACUUACCAUGGAAUCUCAUUUAAGGCUCAGAGAAGAUGAUGCUAGGACUCCAACAACACACAAUUGACUAAACACUCCAUAAUCAAUCCUCAGUAUGCUAACAUCCUAGCUCAUCCAACAUCAAUCAUUAGGAAAAUAAAUCAUCAAUUAAUUUUUCUACACAUCUUAUAACUGUGAUCGCUCUGAUACCAAAUUGAAACAACCUGACCCAUUUUUUUUUAAAACAUAAUUAAAUAUUCCCAUAAAUAUCUAAUUAAACCAACCAAUAAAACAACAAUUAAACCGCAAGUCAAAAAUAUUAUUUUAUGAAUAAAUAAAUAAUUCGACCAACAAAACCAAAAAUAACUAACAAUCCUAACCGGGUUCCAAUAACCAAAACACAAAAAUAAAACAAACGAGUUCCUAGAUCAUCCUCUCUUCUUUGUCAUGAUUCCACGAUCACACUUUAUCUUUACCUGCAUCAACAAUACAAUGAGAUGCGUAAGUAUUAUCAUAAAUACUUAGUGAGGCGAUCCUCCCAUCUACGAGCUAUACACACAAGCAAAUAAAAGGGUAUAAACACAAAUACAACACAAACACACCAGUCAUUGAACAAUUCACCAAAAAACACAUUCACCGUAUCUACAUAUUAUCACACAAAACAAAUCAUACAACCCAAUCGCUCAGAUAAGCUCAUGGUCAUGCACUCACCUUAACAAAUUGAUUCUAACAAUAAA